This 68-nucleotide transfer RNA is filed under the name Blarina hylophaga (Elliot's short-tailed shrew). RNAcentral's name for it is "tRNA-Asp". It matches the Rfam family "tRNA". From Rfam's summary of the family: Transfer RNA (tRNA) molecules are approximately 80 nucleotides in length. Their secondary structure includes four short double-helical elements and three loops (D, anti-codon, and T loops). Further hydrogen bonds mediate the characteristic L-shaped molecular structure. tRNAs have two regions of fundamental functional importance: the anti-codon, which is responsible for specific mRNA codon recognition, and the 3' end, to which the tRNAs corresponding amino acid is attached (by aminoacyl-tRNA synthetases). tRNAs cope with the degeneracy of the genetic code in two manners: having more than one tRNA (with a specific anti-codon) for a particular amino acid; and 'wobble' base-pairing, i.e. permitting non-standard base-pairing at the 3rd anti-codon position. Lineage: Eukaryota; Metazoa; Chordata; Mammalia; Eulipotyphla; Soricidae. The record is from RNAcentral.
GAGAUAUUAGUAAAAUAUUACAUAACUUUGUCAAAGUUAAGUUACGAGUGAAAACCUCGUAUAUCUCC